This 107-nucleotide small RNA is filed under the name Marmota monax (woodchuck). The record is from RNAcentral. Lineage: Eukaryota; Metazoa; Chordata; Mammalia; Rodentia; Sciuridae.
GCUGGGCACAGUGGCACAUGCCUGUGAUCCCAUCUACUUGGGAGGCUGAGGCAGGAGGAUCGAAAGUUCAAGGUCAGCCUGAGCAACUUAGUGAGAUUCUGUCUCAG